UACAGAGGGUGCGAGCGUUAAUCGGAAUUACUGGGCGUAAAGCGCACGUAGGUGGCGACGUAAGUCGGGUGUGAAAGCCCCGGGCUCAACCUGGGAAUUGCAUUCGAGACUGCAUUGCUGGAGUACGGAAGAGGAGGGCGGAAUUCCCGGUGUAGCGGUGAAAUGCGUAGAUAUCGAGAGGAACACCUGCGGCGAAGGCGGGUUGCUGGGCUGACACUGACGCUGAACUGCGAAAGCUAGGGGAGCGAACGGG
RNAcentral lists this ribosomal RNA (253 nucleotides) under uncultured bacterium. RNAcentral's name for it is "partial 16S ribosomal RNA". It matches the Rfam family "Bacterial small subunit ribosomal RNA", at positions 524 to 776 of the family's 1533-position model. The record is from RNAcentral.